UAUUGUUUUUUUUAGCAGGGUAUUGUGUCAUAUUUGUCGUUCAGCCAACAAGACUGUGUGAAACAGGCGACAGAACGGUGCUUCGGACAAGCGUUCUGUUCAAAACUUUGCAUAUUCCACAGUAUGUUACGUUAGCCUACAAGCAAUAGGCAUUAUAGGCCAGAUAUUAGAAAAAUUUACCUAAAGUCGUAUUUAAAUCUUCAGUGUUGGGAUGUCUACAUAUUUCUCUAAGGCAUAGGCUACAGGUGCUUUGACUGUGUAUUACUUCCAUAAUCCCCAUCUUCACAUCUUGUAGCCUACCCUGCAGCAAAGAUAAUGAACACUGAUCUUAUUCACAUAAUAAUCCAAGAUUAAUUAUAAAGAUUAGAUUGUAUGUUUCUAUUUAUUUCACUGACAUGGACUGUCAAAAUUCUCUUCUUUUCAGUGUGUUUGAAAAAUGGAGCAAUUGGAUGAUUUGGAGUUGGAGGAUGAUCUUCAGGACACAGAUAAACUUCUGCAGAAUUUACAUAAUGAGGCAGAGGCACAGAGGAAAGAAAACCCAGCGCCGGUCAAAUGGAGGAAGAGAGAUGGGCAAGGAAAUCGUAUUCCUCAAAGGCCAUUUAGGAAAAAGCCACCUGCACACCGCGGCCCCGCAAAGCGACAGAAGUGUCCAGGGACAGUGCAUUCCCAAUGUGAUGUACCAACUGAUGUCAGUGUCAGCUUCACAGAAGUAACUCAAUCCAAGGUACUUCGCAAGGAGCU
Molecule: long non-coding RNA, 741 nt
Organism: Fundulus heteroclitus (mummichog)
Lineage: Eukaryota; Metazoa; Chordata; Actinopteri; Cyprinodontiformes; Fundulidae
Exons: 5
Source: RefSeq, a predicted model, not a curated record